UAGGGAAUCUUCGGCAAUGGGGGGCAACCCUGACCGAGCAACGCCGCGUGAGUGAAGAAGGUUUUCGGAUCGUAAAGCUCUGUUGUAAGAGAAGAACGUGUGUGAGAGUGGAAAGUUCACACAGUGACGGUAACUUACCAGAAAGGGACGGCUAACUACGNGCCAG
RNAcentral lists this ribosomal RNA (166 nucleotides) under uncultured bacterium. Its description in RNAcentral is "partial 16S rRNA". It matches the Rfam family "Bacterial small subunit ribosomal RNA", at positions 355 to 511 of the family's 1533-position model. The record is from RNAcentral.